GAUGAACGCUGGCGGCGUGCCUAAUACAUGCAAGUCGAGCGAACGGACGAGAAGCUUGCUUCUCUGAUGUUAGCGGCGGACGGGUGAGUAACACGUGGAUAACCUACCUAUAAGACUGGGAUAACUUCGGGAAACCGGAGCUAACACCGGAUAAUAUUUUGAACCGCAUGGUUCAAAAGUGAAAGACGGUCUUGCUGUCACUUAUAGAUGGAUCCGCGCUGCAUUAGCUAGUUGGUAAGGUAACGGCUUACCAAGGCAACGAUGCAUAGCCGACCUGAGAGGGUGAUCGGCCACACUGGAACUGGAACACGGUCCAGACUCCUACGGGAGGCAGCAGUAGGGAAUCUUCCGCAAUGGGCGAGAGCCUGACGGAGCAGCGCCGCGUGAGUGGUGAAGGUCUUCGGAGCGUAAAACUCUGUUAUUAGGGAAGAACAUAUGUGGAAGUAACUGUGCACAGCUUGACGGUACCUGAUCAGAAAGCCACGGCUAACUACGUG
Molecule: ribosomal RNA, 497 nt
Filed under: uncultured bacterium
Lineage: Bacteria
Description: partial 16S ribosomal RNA
Rfam family: Bacterial small subunit ribosomal RNA
Source: RNAcentral